CCUACGGGAGGCUGCAGUGGGGAAUAUUGGGCAAUGGGCGCAAGCCUGACCCAGCAACGCCGCGUGAAGGAAGAAGGCUUUCGGGUUGUAAACUUCUUUUCUCAGGGACGAAGAAAGUGACGGUACCGGAGGAAUAAGCCACGGCUAACGACGUGCCAGCAGCCGCGGUAAUACGUAGGUGGCAAGCGUUAUCCGGAUUUACUGGGUGUAAAGGGCGUGUCGGCGGGACUGCAAGUCAGAUGGGAAAACCACGGGCUCAACCGGGGGCCGGCAUUUGAAACGGUAGUUCUUGAGUACUGGAGAGUCAGCCGGCAUUCCUCGUGUAGCGGUGACAUGCGUAGUUCUUAGGUGGCACCCCAGUGGC
This 364-nucleotide ribosomal RNA is filed under the name uncultured bacterium. RNAcentral's name for it is "partial 16S ribosomal RNA". It matches the Rfam family "Bacterial small subunit ribosomal RNA", at positions 338 to 716 of the family's 1533-position model. The record is from RNAcentral.